RNAcentral lists this ribosomal RNA (492 nucleotides) under uncultured bacterium. RNAcentral's name for it is "partial 16S ribosomal RNA". It matches the Rfam family "Bacterial small subunit ribosomal RNA", at positions 29 to 507 of the family's 1533-position model. The record is from RNAcentral.
AGUGAACGCUGGCGGUAGGCCUAACACAUGCAAGUCGAACGGCAGCACAGUAAGAGCUUGCUCUUACGGGUGGCGAGUGGCGGACGGGUGAGGAAUACAUCGGAAUCUACUUUUUCGUGGGGGAUAACGUAGGGAAACUUACGCUAAUACCGCAUACGACCUACGGGUGAAAGCAGGGGAUCUUCGGACCUUGCGCGAUUGAAUGAGCCGAUGUCGGAUUAGCUAGUUGGCGGGGUAAAGGCCCACCAAGGCGACGAUCCGUAGCUGGUCUGAGAGGAUGAGGAGCCACACUGGAAGUGAGACACGGUCCAGGCUCCUACGGGAGGCAGCAGUGGGGAAUAUGGGACAAUGGGCGCAAGCCUGAUCCAGCCAUACCGCGUGGGUGAAGAAGGCCUUCGUGUUGUAAAGCCCUUUUGUUGGGAAAGAAAAGCAGCAGGUUAAUACCCCGCUGUUCUGACGGUACGCAAAGAAUAAGCAACGGCUAACUUCGUG